UACGUAGGGAGCGAGCGUUGUCCGGAUUCAUUGGGCGUAAAGAGCUCGUAGGCGGCUUGAUAAGUCGGAUGUGAAACCUCCAGGCUCAACCUGGAGUCGCCAUCCGAUACUGUCAUGGCUAGAGUCCGGUAGGGGCCCACGGAACUCCUGGUGUAGCGGUGAAAUGCGCAGAUAUCAGGAAGAACACCCGUGGCUAAGGCGGCUCUCUAGUACGGUACUGACGCUGAGACGCGAAAGCGUGGGGAGCGAACAGG
Molecule: ribosomal RNA, 254 nt
Filed under: uncultured bacterium
Lineage: Bacteria
Description: partial 16S ribosomal RNA
Rfam family: Bacterial small subunit ribosomal RNA
Source: RNAcentral